CAUGCAAGUCGAACGAUGAUGCCCAGCUUGCUGGGUGGAUUAGUGGCGAACGGGUGAGUAACACGUGAGUAACCUGCCCCUGACUCUGGGAUAAGCGUUGGAAACGACGUCUAAUACUGGAUAUGACUGCCGGCCGCAUGGUCUGGUGGUGGAAAGAUUUUUUGGUUGGGGAUGGACUCGCGGCCUAUCAGCUUGUUGGUGAGGUAAUGGCUCACCAAGGCGACGACGGGUAGCCGGCCUGAGAGGGUGACCGGCCACACUGGGACUGAGACACGGCCCAGACUCCUACGGGAGGCAGCAGUGGGGAAUAUUGCACAAUGGGCGAAAGCCUGAUGCAGCAACGCCGCGUGAGGGAUGACGGCCUUCGGGUUGUAAACCUCUUUUAGUAGGGAAGAAGCGAGAGUGACGGUACCUGCAGAAGAAGCGCCGGCUAACUACGUGCCAGCAGCCGCGGUAAUACGUAGGGCGCAAGCGUUAUCCGGAUUUAUUGGGCGUAAAGAGCUCGUAGGCGGUUUGUCGCGUCUGCCGUGAAAGUCCGAGGCUCAACCUCGGAUCUGCGGUGGGUACGGGCAGACUAGAGUGAUGUAGGGGAGACUGGAAUUCCUGGUGUAGCGGUGAAAUGCGCAGAUAUCAGGAGGAACACCGAUGGCGAAGGCAGGUCUCUGGGCAUUUACUGACGCUGAGGAGCGAAAGCAUGGGGAGCGAACAGGAUUAGAU
This 717-nucleotide ribosomal RNA is filed under the name uncultured bacterium. RNAcentral describes it as "bacterial SSU rRNA". It matches the Rfam family "Bacterial small subunit ribosomal RNA", at positions 54 to 783 of the family's 1533-position model. The record is from RNAcentral.